Molecule: non-coding RNA, 184 nt
Filed under: Synechococcales cyanobacterium M55_K2018_004
Lineage: Bacteria; Bacillati; Cyanobacteriota; Cyanophyceae; Synechococcales
Also listed under: 1 other name
Description: 6S / SsrS RNA
Rfam family: 6S / SsrS RNA
About the family: E. coli 6S RNA was the first non coding RNA to be sequenced, but its function was unknown until recently. It consists of 184 nucleotides that fold into an extended hairpin structure with a large single-stranded internal bulge.
Source: Rfam by way of RNAcentral
GUUCUGCUGCGGCGUUGGUGACUGCCAAUAACGUUUUAUGAUCUAUGCUUUUUGAAUGUGGGAAUCGUGAUGUAUCGGUGGCAGUAGACCGGGCGCGUACCCGGAAACUUUAAACCGAGGCCGAGAUUCCCCCCUGGAUUUAUCCAGGUCAAAAACUGAGGCAAGACGGCGUUGUGGGGAACUU